RNAcentral lists this ribosomal RNA (244 nucleotides) under uncultured Staphylococcus sp. Its description in RNAcentral is "partial 16S ribosomal RNA". It matches the Rfam family "Bacterial small subunit ribosomal RNA", at positions 96 to 334 of the family's 1533-position model. The record is from RNAcentral. Lineage: Bacteria; Bacillati; Bacillota; Bacilli; Caryophanales; Staphylococcaceae.
CGGCGGACGGGUGAGUAACACGUGGAUAACCUACCUAUAAGACUGGGAUAACUUCGGGAAACCGGAGCUAAUACCGGAUAAUAUUUUGAACCGCAUGGUUCAAAAGUGAAAGACGGUCUUGCUAUCACUUAUAGAUGGAUCCGCGCUGCAUUAGCUAGUUGGUAAGGUAACGGCUUACCAAGGCAACGAUGCAUAGCCGACCUGAGAGGGUGAUCGGCCACACUGGAACUGAGACACGGUCCAG